Molecule: ribosomal RNA, 373 nt
Filed under: uncultured organism
Description: partial 16S ribosomal RNA
Rfam family: Bacterial small subunit ribosomal RNA
Source: RNAcentral
GUAGGUGGCAAGCGUUGUCCGGAAUUAUUGGGCGUAAAGCGCGCGCAGGCGGUUCUUUAAGUCUGAUGUGAAAGCCCACGGGCUCAACCGUGGAGGGUCAUUGGAAACUGGAGAACUUGAGUACAGAAGAGGAAAGCGGAAUUCCACGUGUAGCGGUGAAAUGCGUAGAGAUGUGGAGGAACACCAGUGGCGAAGGCGGCUUUCUGGUCUGUAACUGACGCUGAGGCGCGGAAGCGUGGGGAGCAAACAGGAUUAGAUACCCUGGUAGUCCACGCCGUAAACGAUGAGUGCUAAGUGUUAGGGGGUUUCCGCCCCUUAGUGCUGCAGCUAACGCAUUAAGCACUCCGCCUGGGGAGUACGGCCGCAAAGGCUG